This is a long non-coding RNA of Triticum aestivum (bread wheat), 1446 nucleotides long. RefSeq lists it as uncharacterized. The record is from RefSeq and is a predicted model, not a curated record. Lineage: Eukaryota; Viridiplantae; Streptophyta; Magnoliopsida; Poales; Poaceae. The transcript is spliced from 4 exons.
GAGACUUUGUGCCAUCAUCUGAACAAGAGCACGGAUAGCAUGGAGGUUUCUCUCGCCAAGCAGAUUCUUCGAGAACCCUCUCCACAAUUCCUCGCUGCCGGCCCCUACCCUCUCUUUCGCAGCGUCUUUUCCCGGCGACCGCCGGAGUUGAAUUGGGCGAGGGUCCCGUCUCCUGUAUAGCUGUAUUUGUAGUUAAGGUCUUGAUAAAUCUGAUUUGGGUUGAGCUUUCCCUGGCGUCUCUCCUUCCAGAUCUGGCCGUGCAGACCGUCGGAGAGGGAGACAUGGCGGCGGUUGCUUCCUUGUCCAAGUUCCUCACUCUCCUGUCUUUCUACUCCCCAUGAGAACUAUCACCCCAAAACUGAGAUGAGCCCAUCCCCCGCACGAUCGGGCGCGAUCCUUCGUUUCCUCUAUGCCGCAUCAUCCUACGGGGAAAGAUGGCCGUGUUCGUCCAGGCCAGCGCUCCCGGCCACCCGGCAGGAGGUCUAGGUUGCCUUUGCCGAUGCAUCAACCUGCGGGCGCUCCGCUGGCGCGGCGUGCCCAAUGCAGGUGUACGCCGGGUAUUCCCGUGUUUAUCCGAUGGCAGCGCAAUCACCGGCACAGCGUGUCGCAUUGUCUUCCUCAACGAUUGCCACGGCGCUGCUGUCGUAUUCGACCUCCUCACUUCGCCGCUGUGAUUCUAUCCGCUGGGAGGCCAAUUACCUGAUGGGAGACAACCAGACGGGGAGAACGAUUGCUUGAAGAGCCUUAGGCAGUCUGCUCUCACAAGGAAAUGCAAAGGUAAUUUCACAAGAGAAGUGGUGAUGGCGAGGCUCUGCCACGGCAACCUUGUUCGCCUCCUUGCGUACUACAAUGAAGGAGACAAGUGGAUAUCCACUCAUCUAUGGCUACAUGUUGAACAACAUCAUGGAUCUCUACAUAUUUGAUUGUGCAUAUGUGGAGAAGCAUGUAUGAUUGCCCUCAGGUUUAGAACAUAUUGCAUAACAAGCCAUUCUCCUUGGCAACCGACCUAGAAGUGAGGUCACAAUUGACACCCCUUGUCGUCCAACUUCCGGCACUUGAAGUCUCUGUGCGACAAAAUUAUGCUUGCCAUCUGAUCACCUUGCCGCAUGGUGAGAAGAUAGAUUAAGUUGGAGUUCGAGAGCUAAUAUUGUUGGCACAAAUGUUUUGAGCAAACAACUAAAAGAAGGGUAUACUAUGCUUUGCAGAUGGAAAAUGAUUCCACGGCCUCAUAUAUGCCUAUGGUAUAUGUAACUAAGCAUGAAUCAAUUUUUUUUCUCUUCAUGGUGCUAUUGCAUGCAGCAUGCUUGUGCAUAUUUAUCAAAGUAUUCAGUUGAACACUUCUACUUCAUUCUUGUUUGUUCUUGAAAGUGUGCUCAAGCAACCGUAAGUAUGUUAUUUGGAUAUAUUAAUUGUGUGGGCUGGAGGUGGAGCCUGUGUUAACCAAAA